UUUAUUUCUCGCAUACGUUUUGUCAAGCCCGUUGUAUCCAAUCCUAACUAACAUUAUCAUUCUCAUGCUACCCUUCUUCUUACCACGACGAUCAUCUAAGGUUAAGAUUUACGGUCUAGUACUAAACAUAGAUGGCAACACUCAUCCACUUAUACUACUUAGAAUUAUUUCUACCAAAGAUAAUCAAGAAACAUAAGGUCAUUGAGGGCUCACGACAAAAUAGUAAAUUUUUAAUCUAGU
Molecule: long non-coding RNA, 240 nt
Filed under: Capsicum annuum
Lineage: Eukaryota; Viridiplantae; Streptophyta; Magnoliopsida; Solanales; Solanaceae
Description: long non-coding RNA (CANN_LNC018753)
Source: RNAcentral